Molecule: transfer RNA, 72 nt
Filed under: Bos taurus (domestic cattle)
Lineage: Eukaryota; Metazoa; Chordata; Mammalia; Artiodactyla; Bovidae
Also listed under: 2 other names
Rfam family: tRNA
About the family: Transfer RNA (tRNA) molecules are approximately 80 nucleotides in length. Their secondary structure includes four short double-helical elements and three loops (D, anti-codon, and T loops).
Source: Rfam by way of RNAcentral
UUCCUGCUGGCUCAGCUGGUAAAGAAUCUGCCUGCAAUGCAGGAGACCUGGGUUCAAUCCCUGGGUUGGGAA